Astatotilapia calliptera (eastern happy) is the source of this 2839-nucleotide long non-coding RNA. Lineage: Eukaryota; Metazoa; Chordata; Actinopteri; Cichliformes; Cichlidae. The record is from Ensembl.
UUCAAAGAGUCCAUCAUUGUUCCUGUCCCGAAGAAACCCCACCCUGCUUCUCUCAAUGACUAUCGCCCUGUAGCCCUCACCUCAGUAGUGAUGAAGUGUUUUGAACGCCUGGUCAGAGACUUCAUCAUUUCUUCACUACCAGACACACUGGACCCACUACAGUUCGCUUACCGUCCAAAUCGUUCCACAGACGAUGCCAUCUCUCAUCUCCUCCACACAUCACUCACUCACUUGGACACUAGAAGGGGGAAUUAUGUUAAAAUGCUCUUCAUAGACUACAGCUCUGCAUUUAACACCAUAAUUCCCUCCACACUCACCACCAAGCUGGAGCAUCUGGGACUCAGCUCAUCUAUGUGUCAGUGGAUCUCCAACUUCCUAACUGGCAGACCACAGGCAGUAAGGAUGGGCGGACAUGUCUCAGCUUCCACCACUCUCAGCACUGGAGCCCCCCAGGGGUGUGUUCUGAGCCCCCUGCUGUACUCUUUGUACACAUAUGACUGUGUGGCCACUACCAGCUCCACCACCAUCGUCAAGUUUGCUGACGACACCGUUGUGGUGGGCCUGAUCUCUGAUAACAACGAGACGGCCUACGUGAAGGAGAUUAGGAAUCUGGAGAACUGGUGCCAGAGAACAACCUCCUUCUAAACGUCAGUAAGACAAAGGAGACAAAGGAGCUGAUAGUGGACUUCAGCACCAAGCAGGAGAGGAACUACCAGACCCCCGUCAUCAACGAGUGCCCAGUGGAGAGAGUGGACUGUUCUCUCUGCUGAGGUCAGGAAAGCGAUUCCGCUCCCUGAAGACCAACACAGAGAGACUGAGGAGGACCUUCUUCCCGCAGGCGAUACGGUCUCUCAAUCACACCACCACACAGUACUGACCCACACAUACAGUUCUUACACACAAACUGGACAUUCUGGACAUUGUUUUCACUUCAUCACUUAAAUCACUUUAAGCAUAUUUGCACUGCACAAGACAUAAUGUGGAUUGCACAACACUGGUCACUAUAUUCUUCAUUUCCAGUUAAUACUUGUACAGCUGCUGUUAUUGUGUAUAUAUUUAUUUAUUUAUUUAUAUUUCUUCAUACAUUCUUAUAUAGUUCUAUACUGUGUAUUGUGUAUUUUGUUGUACAGUUAUUUUAUUUUCAACUUUAAUUUAUAUAUUUUAUCUUAUUCUUUCCCAGUUAAAUUUACCCUUCAUUCUAAUUUGUGUUGUGCAGUUAUUUCAUUUUUAACCUUAAUUUAUAUUUUAUUCCUUCCUAGUUAAAUUUACCCUUUUUAAUUUUUCAUAUUUAUUUCCUAUCUUAUUCAUAGCCUUUUCCUUUUUUUUUUUAGGUCACGAGCAGUUGUCUAAGCAUUUCACUGCAUAUCGUACUGUGUAUGACUGUGUACGUGACAAAUAAAAUUUGAAUUUGAAACUGGAUUCAUUUUAAAUGGAGGCUGUAGCUGAAAUGUUUGUGUGGGUUGCCAUGACAACACCAAAGUGAAUCUGAGAUCGUUAUUGUUUUCUAUUUGUUUUCUUUAUUUGCUUCUCAUGCUUGUGUACAUUUGCAGUAGGGCUGCCACAAACGAUUAUUUUGAUAGUCGACUAGUCACCGAUUAUUUUUGCGAUUAGUCGACUAAUCAGAUCAUCAUCCAUUGGACGUACAGCGUACAGCUUAUUGCACCAGCAGCAUCUGGUCUUAUAUAACUAUCAUUAGCUUACAGCUUGAAGUGUUUGUGCUAACUAAAAAUAAAGACAAGAUGGUAGUUUAUUAAUUUUUAAAGAAAUUUGUGUUACGAUAUUACUUCAGGGAGCAGACAUGACACCGUCUUAGGUUUUAGCCAUCACUUUUUUAUUAUCUCCACACCACCCUCCGGUGGCUUCCACAUGAACUGCACCUUAAACAACAACUGUUCACUCAUAUCAUGACAUCCCCCUUUUUUUUUUUUUUCAACAACAGGGGCAAACAACAAAGUAACUCACAACACCACUCAAGGCCCAUGACCAGAGGGAAAAAAGAAAGGGAGAAAAAAAAAUGCCUCUUGGCAUACUCACAUUUCUCUCUAGUGAACACUUUUUUUUAUUUUUUUUAAUUUUUAAUCACAGCAUGUGCUCAAAACAUAAUGUUCAUUUUAUUCCUCAAUAAGCCUUCUGGGCUUGGAAACAAUACGUCCACUCGCAGUUUUGGGUGGGGAACUUGGAAACUCUGUGGGAGUGACAUUUGUACUUUGCAUGUCCAUCUCACUUUGUCCCUGUGUUUCAUCACACUCAUUUUGCUGUGUUACGUUUUGGUUGUCCCUUGACUGCCUUAGAAACUUUCUGUUCCUUCUAUAUGUCUGUCCAUCAGGCAUCUGAACAACAUAAGAUCUUGGAUGUUCAGAUAAACCUGUCACCUGAGCUGGAUUCCAUACACCCUGUUGCCACAUUCUGACAGUGUCACCAACCUGCAGUUGUUUAAGUGCUUUGGUUCCUUGGUUAAAGUAUUCUCUCUGUUUCUGUUGUCUUGUUUCUAACAACUGCUGCACUGUCUUAGUGACCAUGUGGGGUUUCAAUCUUUGCGAUGUUGUUGGAAGUCUUGUUCUUAUGCGUCGACCCAUUAGCAGCUGGGCUGGUGACGCUCCAAUGUCCUCCAACGGUGUACUCCUCAGAUUCAUUAAUGAUAGAUACGGGUCAUUCCCCUCGGCUUUUGCCUUUUUUAACAAGAGUUUCACUGUUUGUACUCCUCUCUCUGCCAUUCCGUUUGACUGUGCAUGGUGGGGGCUCGUAGUGUUGUGACAAAACUCCCACUCUUUUGCAAAGUCUUGGAAUUCACGGGAGCUGAACUGUGGUCCGUUGUCUGAAAUCACCGUUUCAGGAAUCC